This 386-nucleotide ribosomal RNA is filed under the name uncultured Rhizophydiales. RNAcentral describes it as "partial small subunit ribosomal RNA". It matches the Rfam family "Eukaryotic small subunit ribosomal RNA", at positions 30 to 432 of the family's 1831-position model. The record is from RNAcentral. Lineage: Eukaryota; Fungi; Chytridiomycota; Chytridiomycetes; Rhizophydiales.
GCUUGUCUCAAAGAUUAAGCCAUGCAUGUCUAAGUGUAAAUAAGUCUAUACUGUGAAACUGCGAAUGGCUCAUUAAAUCAGUUAUCGUUUAUUUGAUGAUCUCUUACUACUUGGAUAACCGUAGUAAUUCUAGAGCUAAUACAUGCACAAAAUCCCGACUUACGAAGGGAUGUAUUUAUUAGAUACAAACCAACAUCGUGGUGAUUCAUAAUAACUUUGCGAAUCGUAUGCCUCACGGCGACGAUGAAUCAUUCAAAUUUCUGCCCUAUCAACUGUCGACUGUGAUAUAGACGCUCACAGUGGUUUUGACGGGUAACGGGGAAUCAGGGUUCGAUUCCGGAGAGGGAGCCUUAAAAACGGCUACCACAUCCAAGGAAGGCAGCAGG